GAUGAUUCUUGAAAAGUUUGAUUUUUUUGGGAUUUUUUUUCAAUUUUUUGGAGUGUCACAUACUGGUUUAAGGCUUCUGAGAUUUGGAUUUAUUGAAGUUGUCACCAGCAGAAUUUCGAGCUUUGUACAAUGGGUAGAGGAAGAGGAAAGGGAAAGAAGCAAUCUGUCCGUGAGGAUCUCGGAAGUGGUGAAGAAGAGAAGAUACCAAUCAGGAGAAGGGGAAGACCACUGAAG
This 234-nucleotide unclassified non-coding RNA is filed under the name Hevea brasiliensis (rubber tree). Lineage: Eukaryota; Viridiplantae; Streptophyta; Magnoliopsida; Malpighiales; Euphorbiaceae. The record is from RNAcentral.